RNAcentral lists this ribosomal RNA (440 nucleotides) under uncultured bacterium. RNAcentral describes it as "partial 16S ribosomal RNA". It matches the Rfam family "Bacterial small subunit ribosomal RNA", at positions 338 to 795 of the family's 1533-position model. The record is from RNAcentral.
CCUACGGGUGGCAGCAGUGGGGGAUAUUGCACAAUGGGGGAAACCCUGAUGCAGCGACGCCGCGUGUGGGAAGACGGUCCUCUGGAUUGUAAACCACUGUCGCCAGGGACGAAGAUGCCGGUAUCUGGGAAGGAAGCUCGGGCAAAGUACGUGCGAGCAGCCGAGGUAAUACGUAGGGGGCGAGCGUUGUCCGGAUUUACGGGGGUUAACGGGAGCGAAGGCGGGGAUGCAAGUCGGGUGUCAACACUACCGGCUCAACUGGUAGCCGCAGUCGAAACCGGAGCUCUUGAGUGAAGGAGAGGCAGGCGGAAUUCGUGGUGUAGCGGUGAAAUGCGUAGAUAUCAGGAGGAACCCCAGUGGCGAAGGCAGCCUGCUGGGGUGCUACUGACGCUGAGGCUCGAAGGUGUGGGGAGCAAACAGGAUUAGAUACCCGGGUAGUC